This is a non-coding RNA of Oryzias latipes (Japanese medaka), 864 nucleotides long. The record is from RefSeq and is a predicted model, not a curated record. NCBI's taxonomy places the organism in Eukaryota, Metazoa, Chordata, Actinopteri, Beloniformes, Adrianichthyidae.
UUCAUGAACUUACCUUCAACAUGUGAACAGAACCAGAACCACACACAUGUAGAAAUCCACAGACAAGAAGAAGCAGAAACACAACAGAACUCUGCUGCAGACAUCGUGACCAAACCAUGACUUAGGGAGGAAGACGAAGCUGCUGCUAUAAAUUAAAGUUAGAAAAAGUUAGAAAAAUGCCGUCUCUUUCCGUUAAAACAGCCUAUCAGCAAGGAUCGCAUCGGAGGUAGGGGCUGUGGCCGUUGAUAGGAGAGAUAUGCAGAUUGUAACACGUAACAGCCAAUGACAAUUCUGCUGCAACACAGGUAGCCAAUCACAACGCAGAUUUACGCAAUCGCGAAAUUACAGUAUCCUAGCACCUAACCCUUCCCCUUCAUUCUCUAUGGUAGUUUCAGAUGUAAUACAGUCUUUCACCACUAGCAAGGUUUUUUUCCACACCGUCUUAGUAGUGAGGAAUUUACAGGAAGAGAAACAACAACAAUCUUGCGGCCAGAGUUCAUCUGAUCGCUGUUAAAACACAAGAGCACAACAAGUUAAAGUAUGAUGUGAAGGUUCAAGCAGCCACAUGGGGGCGCUAGAGACCUGCUACUGUGACAACCUGUGGACUUCAUGCCUGAGAGCUCCUUCAUCUGCCCACUGGAUGUUCAGCUCCUCAGUUUCCUCCAAACAGCAGGUUGAAGUUGACGGUUGGGAUCCGUCUGACUUUGCUGCAGUCGUCUCCUGGAUUUCAGGAGCUUUGUUUCUGUUCUGCUCAAAUCCCAGCAGAGGUCCUGCUGCUGGUUCCAGAAAACCAACUGGAAAUGAAAGCUGAAGGUUUUUCCUGGACGGACUCUGGAAUGAUGGAAGUGGAGACACUUUUCUGGU